This 1535-nucleotide ribosomal RNA is filed under the name uncultured bacterium. RNAcentral's name for it is "bacterial SSU rRNA". It matches the Rfam family "Bacterial small subunit ribosomal RNA". The record is from RNAcentral.
AGAGUUUGAUCCUGGCUCAGGACGAACGCUGGCGGCGUGCCUAAUACAUGCAAGUAGAACGCUGAAGGAGGAGCUUGCUUCUCUGGAUGAGUUGCGAACGGGUGAGUAACGCGUAGGUAACCUGCCUGGUAGCGGGGGAUAACUAUUGGAAACGAUAGCUAAUACCGCAUAACAGUAGAUAUCGCAUGAUAGCUGCUUGAAAGGUGCAAUUGCACCACUACCAGAUGGACCUGCGUUGUAUUAGCUAGUUGGUGAGGUAACGGCUCACCAAGGCAACGAUAUUCUAUAGCCGAACUGAGAGGGUGAUCGGCCACACUGGGACUCGAGACACGGCCCAGACUCCUACGGGAGGCAGCAGUAGGGAAUCUUCUGGCAAUGGACCGAAGUUCUGACCGAGCAACGCCGCGUGAGAGUAAGAAGGUUCUCGGAUUCGUAAAGCUUCUGUUGUAAGAGAAGAACGAGUGUUGAGGAGUGGAAAGUUCACACUGUGACGGUAUCUUACCAGAAAGGGACGGCUAACUACGUGCCAGCAGCCGCGGUAAUACGUAGGUCCCGAGCGUUGUCCGGAUUUAUUGGGCGUAAAGCGAGCGCAGGCGGUUAGAUAAGUCUGAAGUUAAAGGCUGUGGCUUAACCAUAGUACGCUUUGGAAACUGUUUAACUUGAGUGCAAGAGGGGAGAGUGGAAUUUCCAUGUGUAGCGGUGAAAUGCGUAGAUAUAUGGAGGAACACCGGUGGCGAAAGCGGCUCUCUGGCUUGUAACUGACGCUGAGGCUCGAAAGCGUGGGGAGCAAACAGGAUUAGAUACCCUGGUAGUCCACGCCGUAAACGAUGAGUGCUAGGUGUUAGACCCUUUCCGGGGUUUAGUGCCGUAGCUAACGCAUUAAGCACUCCGCCUGGGGAGUACGACCGCAAGGUUGAAACUCAAAGGAAUUGACGGGGGCCCGCACAAGCGGGUGGAGGCAUGUGGUUUAAUUCGAAGCAACGCGAAGAACCUUUACCAGGUCUUGACAUCCCUCUGACCGCUCUAAGAGAAAGGAGUUUUCCUUCGGGACAGAGGUGACAGGUGGUGCAUGGUUGUCGUCAGCUCGUGUCCUGAGAAUGUUGGGUUAAGUCCCGCAACGAGACGCAAACCCUAUUUGUUAGUGGCCAUCAUUCAGUUGGGCACUCUAGCGAGAACUGCCGGUAAUAAACCGGAGGAAGGUGGAGAUGAACGUCAAAUCAUCAUCUAGCCCCAUUAUGACACGUGGGCUACACACAAUGCUACGAAUGGUUGGUACAACGAGUCGCAAGCCGGUGACGGCAAGCUAAUCUCUUAAAGCCAAUCUCAGUUCGGAUUGUAGGCUGCAACUCGCCUACAUGAAGUCGGAAUCGCUAGUAAUCGCGGAUCAGCACGCCGCGGUGAAUACGUUCCCGGGCCUUGUACACACCGCCCGUCACACCACGAGAGUUUGUAACACCCGAAGUCGGUGAGGUAACCUUUUAGGAGCCAGCCGCCUAAGGUGGGAUAGAUGAUUGGGGUGAAGUCGUAACAAGGUA